This is a non-coding RNA of Calypte anna (Anna's hummingbird), 114 nucleotides long. The record is from Rfam. Lineage: Eukaryota; Metazoa; Chordata; Aves; Apodiformes; Trochilidae.
CUAGGGUACGGUGACAUGUACCCCAUGACCUGGUCGGGGAUGCUGGUGGGGGCUCUCUGCGCCUUGGCCGGGGUCCUCACCAUCGCCAUGCCCGUCCCCGUCAUCGUCAACAAC